GUGUCAGAGCUGCUGCUUUCUGCAUUAUCGCAACUGCCAGCUCCAGCUCCUGCAGUUUCCCAGUCGCAAUGCAGCAAAGCAGAAGCAGACAACUAGGCACAAAGCAACAGAGUUUUAAAGUUUUCUUCUCCUGCUACUACUUAGCAUGUCUUACAUGAGGAGUAUUUACCUUUGUUUAGCCAGGAGCAGAGAUGCAUCCUGAAUGUACACGAUGGCUUCUAACUUGGCAGCGUGAAUUUUCAGCUGAGCAGGUACUGCUCGGAGACUUGUAACCAAACCGCCUCUGAUGGAGCACGGCUGGUCUCCCACCAUGUGUGUGAAUAGUUUGGGGGCUUCUUAUGCCACGCUGCUCUACCUGCAGGAAUAAAGGCUAGGACAAAGGAGAGGAUGCUUGCUAUGGUUUGUCUGGCUGGGGCCUGUGCGAGCGACUCACCGCACUGAUGCUGUGUGACUCCCCAGCUCACAUUUAAGGCUGGUCACGGGGCUGGCGCAGAUCCCCACUCCUCAGUUAGCGCACGGUUUAAAGGAGAAACCAGACUCCCUGACCUAAAUCACUCCCAGUCCUCUCUGGAUGCGGGACAGCUGUCGACUAGCAGUGACACAACCAGCCAUCAAGUGGAGAAUCGUUGCGACUGCAGUCUGUGUGCAGGUGGAGCCCGGGAGAAUGACAGUCUAAUUUCGGUCAUCCAACGGCUUUUCCUUAUUUUCCUAAAUAAUCGUGCUCGCUAAGUAUACAGUUGUCUGGAUUAGCCUGCCUGCCAUGCAGUCCUCAUCAACUCUGGCUGGAAAUCAGGGUGCCAGGCAAGCCGCCUUUAGCCCUGGCUCCUUUCUGCGUGAUGCUAUGCAGCUAGGAUGGGUCAUGCUGACAACAAAGAAGGAAGCAGAAAGCAUCACUUUCUCUUCUCUUGUGAUGUUAGCGGAACAUAACUCUUCUUCGCAGUGAUGCCCUUGUGUGUGGUGUAUGUGUGUGUGUGUGUGUGUGUGUUUUAAUUCAUCUAAUCGAAGAGCCCAACAAAUAUCAUCAUGGAUGUGAUUUUUAAUAAUUUGGAAAAAACAAAAAAAGACAGCCUGUGGAGACAGCGAUUCGAAACAGCGGCACAUUUAGGUUAUUGCCAAUUUGAAAUACUUGGUUUGUGAAGCUGAGCCCUAAGGGACAAGCUCGGUAACUGAGGAAGAGAUCGUAGAUAAAGAAAUAAAAAUGACAAGCGUAAUGGAGGCUCUGCGAAGGGACUGUCAGAGCAUCAGUUCAUGGAUGGCAAUUUCACCAGGCUGAGAUUGAAUAAUUCAUAGAUUGAAAUUACCCUGCUUUCACCUUUCCAUUUAAGCCGGCAUGAUCUGAAUCUCUCAUAAAUUUUCAAGAUAAAGUAAAAUGCCAAUUUGAAUCUGAAGAGCUUUUAAAACCAGAUGCUGCAUCCCUGAAUCUUUCGGUAUCUUUCACAAUUAUCCUAUGAGAACAGCACUUCAUCACGAAGCACCAUUACCAGGGAAAAUUACGGUGAUUACAAUAGCAACAAUAGAAUACCAUCAAAUGAUCUCUAAUUUACCUAAUUUGCUAAGACUGACUGUACGGUUUUGAUAUCCAUUGUAUGUCACCAUGCCCGGCACCCGUGAAGCUAUCUCGCACUGGAACAAAAGUGGCAUCGUGUGUGUGUGUGUGUAUGUGUGUAUGUGCACGCACACCCUGCUACCUUAACUGUGAAUGCCUAGCAAAGAACAUUCUCCUAGGUUACAAUAUUUCUUUCCUUUGGUUCACAUUUUCGCUUUUUUCCAAUGCCUCUACCCCAAAUGUGUUUGGGGAAAUGGAGAGCCUGUCAUGGGUUGGGAGACUGUUUUUUGAUACAGAAGAGCAUUGACUUGUUAAUUUAUAUACCCUCUUUAUUUUAAUGUAUACAAGCCUGUGUUUACUAAAAGGGAGGGAGGAUGCUGUUCUGGGAGAGUAAUUUUAAAAUGCAGCCGAGAUGUAGCAUAUGUGUUUGUUUCUUCUUUGAAACCCCUGUCUGUCUCUUUCAGGUUAGAAAUCCUUUCAGGGAAGUUUAGUCCUGGUGUGAUGUGUCAAAAACCUCUCAGAUUGCAAAGAAGCUCAGGAGAUACAAUCAGUAAUAACUCUGUACAGCUUUUAUUAAAAGCAUGCAUGUUCAAUUCAGUGAUUAAAUGAAGCUUCGGUACAACUUCGGC
This is a long non-coding RNA of Homo sapiens (human), 2175 nucleotides long. NCBI's taxonomy places the organism in Eukaryota, Metazoa, Chordata, Mammalia, Primates, Hominidae. The record is from Ensembl.